AAUUGGUUUUUUUAGGGGACCUUUUUAUGACUUGAAAUCAUUUUUGAGUGGCUUAGGAUGAAAUUUAGCCUGGGGGUCACUUUUCUAAUUUUGGCAUUUAGCCUCUGUCUUUAAAAAUGGUGGUCAUAACAAGCGAGAUGAAUAAUUUUGAUUUUUCUAAACUAUUUUAAAUGGUUAUGGUAAUAGCCUACAAACUUCCUUUGUCUUUUGAUAAGUAAUAACCCAUUGUUUGGCAGCUCUAAGCCUUUAAAUGCAAAAACCAUCAAUAUUGGCUACUUUUGUGGCAACUUAAUAAGAGUACUUGUUUCAAGUGGAAAGUUUUGCCAUUUAUUUCUUCAAAGUCACAUUUAGUAUUAUUAAUAACAAAGGUACAAAUGAUUAUGGAAUACAUUUAAGUAAAAUAAAACACUUCAACUCAAAUUUGAAGUCAAGUCUGUAAUAUGAAAUACACUGGAUAUUCUUAAUCUAGGUAUUCUUCUGUAUCACUAUCUUCUUCAGAUGACUCUAGAACAGUAGCUUUAAUUGGCUCAUCUGAAUGUCCAUUUUCAUGGGUUAGAGGCAAUUUCAUUCUAUUUGGCAGUCCACUUUUAGUAUGCAUCAGGUUCCAACACAUCCAACACUGAUGUCCACCCAAAAUUUUUGUUGCAAGGAGUCCAG
This is a long non-coding RNA of Gavialis gangeticus (Gharial), 657 nucleotides long. RefSeq lists it as uncharacterized. The record is from RefSeq and is a predicted model, not a curated record. The transcript is spliced from 3 exons. Lineage: Eukaryota; Metazoa; Chordata; Crocodylia; Gavialidae.